AGCGAGCUGGCGCAGCGGAAGCGCGCCGGGCUCAUAACCCGGAGGUCACUCGAUCGAAACGAGUGCUCGCUA
This is a transfer RNA of 72 nucleotides. It matches the Rfam family "tRNA". Rfam says of the family: Transfer RNA (tRNA) molecules are approximately 80 nucleotides in length. Their secondary structure includes four short double-helical elements and three loops (D, anti-codon, and T loops). Further hydrogen bonds mediate the characteristic L-shaped molecular structure. tRNAs have two regions of fundamental functional importance: the anti-codon, which is responsible for specific mRNA codon recognition, and the 3' end, to which the tRNAs corresponding amino acid is attached (by aminoacyl-tRNA synthetases). tRNAs cope with the degeneracy of the genetic code in two manners: having more than one tRNA (with a specific anti-codon) for a particular amino acid; and 'wobble' base-pairing, i.e. permitting non-standard base-pairing at the 3rd anti-codon position. The record is from Rfam.